This 1468-nucleotide ribosomal RNA is filed under the name uncultured prokaryote. Its description in RNAcentral is "partial 16S ribosomal RNA". It matches the Rfam family "Bacterial small subunit ribosomal RNA". The record is from RNAcentral.
AUGCAAGUCGAACGAGAAAGGGAUCCUUCGGGAACCUGAGUAAAGUGGCGAACGGGUGAGUAACACGUGGGUGACCUGCCCUUUGGAGGGGGAUAACCCGGGGAAACCCGGGCUAAGACCGCAUAAGCCUCUGAGGUCAAACUCAGAGGGAAAAGGGUCUAGCUUUCGAGCUUGAUCCUGCCGAAGGAGGGGCCCGGUCCCAUUAGCUUGUUGGUGGGGUAAAAGCCUACCAAGGCUACGAUGGGUAGCCGGUCUGAGAGGACGGACGGCCACACUGGAACUGAGACACGGUCCAGACUCCUACGGGAGGCAGCAGUGGGGAAUUUUGGGCAAUGGGCGAAAGCCUGACCCAGCAACGCCGCGUGGAGGAAGAAGGCCUUCGGGUCGUAAACCCCUGUCCUUAGAGAAGAAAAGCCUAUGGUUAAUACCCGUGGGUCUUGACGUUACCUACAGAAGAAGCUCCGGCUAACUCCGUGCCAGCAGCCGCGGUAAUACGGAGGGAGCGAGCGUUAAUCGGAAUUACUGGGCGUAAAGCGCGCGUAGGCGGCUUUGUAAGUCGGAUGUGAAAGCCCUGGGCUCAACCUGGGAAUGGCAUUCGAUACUGCAUGGCUAGAGUAUGGUAGAGGGAAGUGGAAUUUCCGGUGUAGCGGUGAAAUGCGUAGAUAUCGGAAGGAACACCAGUGGCGAAGGCGACUUCCUGGGCCAAUACUGACGCUGAGGUGCGAAAGCGUGGGAGCAAACAGGAUUAGAUACCCUGGUAGUCCACGCCGUAAACGAUGAGAACUAGAUGUCGGGGGAAUCUGUCUUUCGGUGUCGCAGCUAACGCGUUAAGUUCUCCGCCUGGGGAGUACGCCGGCAACGGUAAAACUCAAAGGAAUUGACGGGGACCCGCACAAGCGGUGGAGCAUGUGGUUUAAUUCGAUGCAACGCGAAGAACCUUACCUGCCCUUGACAUUGACAGAAUCCUGUAAAAUAACUUGGUGCCUUCGGGAAUUGAGUGACAGGUGCUGCAUGGCUGUCGUCAGCUCGUGUCGUGAGAUGUUGGGUUAAGUCCCGCAACGAGCGCAACCCUUGUCCUUAGUUGCCAGCACGUAAAGGUGGGAACUCUAGGGAGACUGCCGGUGAUAAACCGGAGGAAGGUGGGGAUGACGUCAAGUCAUCAUGGCCCUUAUGGGCUGGGCUACACACGUGCUACAAUGGGAGGUACAGAGGGUACAAUCCCGCGAGGGUGAGCUAAUCCCAGAAAGCCGAUCUUAGUCCGGAUCGCAGUCUGCAACUCGACUGCGUGAAGUCGGAAUCGCUAGUAAUCGCGAAUCAGCAAUGUCGCGGUGAAUACGUUCCCGGGCCUUGUACACACCGCCCGUCACACCAUGGGAGUUGGCUGCACCAGAAGUAGGUAGACUAACCGUAAGGAGGUCGCUUACCACGGUGUGGUUAAUGACUGGGGUGAAGUCGUAACAAGGUAACC